Long non-coding RNA from Tachysurus vachellii, 744 nucleotides. RefSeq lists it as uncharacterized. The record is from RefSeq and is a predicted model, not a curated record. The transcript has 3 exons. NCBI's taxonomy places the organism in Eukaryota, Metazoa, Chordata, Actinopteri, Siluriformes, Bagridae.
GACGGUGAUUGGCUCCAUGUGUGUGAGCCUCUGUGUGAGCCUCCAUGACCCCAGGAAGUGGCCGACAGUGUAUGAGUAGGAGAGAAUCUGGAGACUGCUGCAGCUGGGGAGGAGCGUUCAACCUGGAGCUUCAUCAAACCAGGAAAGAGGCAAUUAAAUUCACACUUUGAAAGGAAACCGCAGUACCCGGAGGAAACCCCCGAGGCACAGGGAGAACAUGCAAACUUCACACACACAAGGUGGAAGCGGGAAUUGAACCCCGACCCUGGAGGUGUGAGGAAAAUGCUAACCACUAAGCCACCGUGCCCCCCUCGGGUGCAUCUUAAUUAAUUAAUUAAUUAAUUAAUUAGAAUGUUGUGGAAAAGUUCAGUAAUUCAACUCAAAUAGUGAAACUCGUGUGUUAUAUAAAUUCAGUACACACAGACUGAAGUAGUUUAAGUUUCUUUGGUACUUUUAAUUGUGAUGAUUUUGGCUCACAUUUAACAAAAACCCUCCAAUCUCAAAAAAAUUUAAUAAUUUUUUAAAAAAAAACAUUUUUAGUGAAUUGCCAAAUCCUGCUAUAAAAUGAAAUUAGCAUCUUUAAAAAGCUGGUCAGCAGAAGGAAGCAUUAAGUGCUCUAAAAUUUCUUGGUAAACGUGUACAGUGACUUUAGUUUAUAAAAAACACAGUGGACCAACUCCAGCAGAUGACAUUGCAACCCAAAUCAUCACAGACUGGCACAAAAUAGGCAAAUACAGCAUGUAA